Molecule: ribosomal RNA, 595 nt
Filed under: uncultured Bacteroidota bacterium
Lineage: Bacteria; Pseudomonadati; Bacteroidota
Description: bacterial SSU rRNA
Rfam family: Bacterial small subunit ribosomal RNA
Source: RNAcentral
CAACCUGCCCAUCACUUGGGGAUAACCUUGCGAAAGUAAGACUAAUACCCAAUGAUAUCUCUAGAAGACAUCUGAAAGAGAUUAAAGAUUUAUCGGUGAUGGAUGGGGAUGCGUCUGAUUAGCUUGUUGGCGGGGUAACGGCCCACCAAGGCGACGAUCAGUAGGGGUUCUGAGAGGAAGGUCCCCCACAUUGGAACUGAGACACGGUCCAAACUCCUACGGGAGGCAGCAGUGAGGAAUAUUGGUCAAUGGGCGAGAGCCUGAACCAGCCAAGUAGCGUGCAGGAUGACGGCCCUAUGGGUUGUAAACUGCUUUUAUAAGGGAAUAAAGUGAGUCUCGUGAGAUUUUUUGCAUGUACCUUAUGAAUAAGGACCGGCUAAUUCCGUGCCAGCAGCCGCGGUAAUACGGAAGGUCCGGGCGUUAUCCGGAUUUAUUGGGUUUAAAGGGAGCGUAGGCCGGAGAUUAAGCGUGUUGUGAAAUGUAGACGCUCAACGUCUGCACUGCAGCGCGAACUGGUUUCCUUGAGUACGCACAAAGUGGGCGGAAUUCGUGGUGUAGCGGUGAAAUGCUUAGAUAUCACGAAGAACUCCGAUUG